ACAAGCGGAGGAGCAUGUGGUUAAUUCGAUGAUACGCGAGGAACCUACCUGGGCUCGAACGUAAGAUGACUGUAGGUGAAAGCUUACAUCUCUUCGGAGCAUUUUACGAGGUGCUGCAUGGUUGUCGUCAGCUCGUGCCGUGAGGUGUCGGGUUAAGUCCCAUAACGAGCGCAACCCCUACCUUUAGUUGCCAUCAGGUUAAGCUGGGGACUCUAAAGGAACUGCCUACGCAAGUAGUGAGGAAGGCGGGGAUGACGUCAAAUCAGCACGGCCCUUACGUCCAGGGCUACACACGUGCUACAAUGGCCGAUACAGAGGGCAGCUACCUGGUGACAGGAUGCAAAUCUCCAAAGUCGGUCUCAGUUCGGAUCGGAGUCUGCAACCCGACUCCGUGAAGUUGGAUUCGCUAGUAAUCGCGCAUCAGCCAUGGCGCGGUGAAUACGUUCCCGGGCCUU
RNAcentral lists this ribosomal RNA (455 nucleotides) under uncultured Sphingobacteriales bacterium. Its description in RNAcentral is "bacterial SSU rRNA". It matches the Rfam family "Bacterial small subunit ribosomal RNA", at positions 925 to 1382 of the family's 1533-position model. Lineage: Bacteria; Pseudomonadati; Bacteroidota; Sphingobacteriia; Sphingobacteriales. The record is from RNAcentral.